This 304-nucleotide ribosomal RNA is filed under the name uncultured bacterium. RNAcentral's name for it is "partial 16S ribosomal RNA". It matches the Rfam family "Bacterial small subunit ribosomal RNA", at positions 509 to 807 of the family's 1533-position model. The record is from RNAcentral.
CAGCAGUCGCCGCGGUAAUACGGAGGGUGCAAGCGUUAAUCGGAAUUACUGGGCGUAAAGCGCACGCAGGCGGUCUGACAAGUCAGAUGUGAAAUCCCCGGGCUUAACCUGGGAACUGCAUUUGAAACUGUCAGGCUGGAGUCUUGUAGAGGGGGGUAGAAUUCCAGGUGUAGCGGUGAAAUGCGUAGAGAUCUGGAGGAAUACCGGUGGCGAAGGCGGCCCCCUGGACAAAGACUGACGCUCAGGUGCGAAAGCGUGGGGAGCAAACAGGAUUAGAUACCCCAGUAGUCCCUGUCUCUUAUAC